Molecule: small nucleolar RNA, 79 nt
Organism: Hippocampus zosterae (dwarf seahorse)
Lineage: Eukaryota; Metazoa; Chordata; Actinopteri; Syngnathiformes; Syngnathidae
Product: small nucleolar RNA SNORA24
Exons: 1
Source: RefSeq, a predicted model, not a curated record
GUCCACGUUACCAUGGGAGCUGUGUUCUAAUGACAGUCUCCCUUCCUAGGCGUGGAAUAGCAUAACCUCGCUCCCGUUC